AAUAGAUACCCGGGUAGUCCACGCCGUAAACGUUGGGCGCUAGAUGUGGGGGCCAUUCCACGGUUUCCGCGUCGUAGCUAACGCAUUAAGCGCCCCGCCUGGGGAGUACGGCCGCAAGGCUAAAACUCAAAGGAAUUGACGGGGGCCCGCACAAGCGGCGGAGCAUGCGGAUUAAUUCGAUGCAACGCGAAGAACCUUACCAAGGCUUGACAUAUACGAGAACACUGCAGAAAUGUAGGACUCUUUGGACACUCGUAUACAGGUGGUGCAUGGUUGUCGUCAGCUCGUGUCGUGAGAUGUUGGGUUAAGUCCCGCAACGAGCGCAACCCUCGUCGCAUGUUGCCAGCACGUAAAGGUGGGAACUCAUGUGAGACUGCCGGGGUCAGCUCGGAGGAAGGUGGGGAUGACGUCAAAUCAUCGUGCCCCUUAUGUCUUGGGCUUCACGCAUGCUACAAUGGCCGGUACAGAGAGCAGCCACUUAGCGAUAAGGAGCGAAUCUAUAAAGCCGGUCACAGUUCGG
This 520-nucleotide ribosomal RNA is filed under the name uncultured bacterium. Its description in RNAcentral is "bacterial SSU rRNA". It matches the Rfam family "Bacterial small subunit ribosomal RNA", at positions 777 to 1296 of the family's 1533-position model. The record is from RNAcentral.